UUAAUUGAAGAGUUUGAUCAUGGCUCAGAUUGAACGCUGGCGGCAGGCCUAACACAUGCAAGUCGAGCGGUAACAGAAAAGAAGCUUGCUUCUUUUGCUGACGAGCGGCGGACGGGUGAGUAAUGCCUGGGAAUAUACCCUGAUGUGGGGGAUAACUAUUGGAAACGAUAGCUAAUACCGCAUAAUCUCUUCGGAGCAAAGAGGGGGACCUUCGGGCCU
Molecule: ribosomal RNA, 219 nt
Filed under: Photobacterium carnosum
Lineage: Bacteria; Pseudomonadati; Pseudomonadota; Gammaproteobacteria; Vibrionales; Vibrionaceae
Description: partial 16S ribosomal RNA
Rfam family: Bacterial small subunit ribosomal RNA
Source: RNAcentral